RNAcentral lists this ribosomal RNA (467 nucleotides) under uncultured bacterium. RNAcentral describes it as "partial 16S ribosomal RNA". It matches the Rfam family "Bacterial small subunit ribosomal RNA", at positions 28 to 507 of the family's 1533-position model. The record is from RNAcentral.
GAUGAACGCUGGCGGCGUGCUUAACACAUGCAAGUCGAACGGAAAGGCCCAAGCUUGCUUGGGUACUCGAGUGGCGAACGGGUGAGUAACACGUGGGUGAUCUGCCCUGCACUUCGGGAUAAGCCUGGGAAACUGGGUCUAAUACCGGAUAGGACCACUUCUUGGAUGUUGUGGUGGAAAGUUUUUUCGGUGUGGGAUGAGCUCGCGGCCUAUCAGCUUGUUGGUGGGGUAAUGGCCUACCAAGGCGUCGACGGGUAGCCGGCCUGAGAGGGUGUACGGCCACAUUGGGACUGAGAUACGGCGCAGACUCCCACGGGAGGCAGAAGUGGGGGAUAUUGCACAAUGGGCGCGAGCCUGAUGCAGCGACGCCGCGCGGGGGAUGACGGCCUUCGGGUUGUAAAAUCCUUUCGCUAGGGACGAAGCGUUUUGUGACGGUACCUGGAGAAGAAGCACCGGCUAACUACGUG